RNAcentral lists this ribosomal RNA (460 nucleotides) under uncultured bacterium. RNAcentral describes it as "partial 16S ribosomal RNA". It matches the Rfam family "Bacterial small subunit ribosomal RNA", at positions 338 to 795 of the family's 1533-position model. The record is from RNAcentral.
CCUACGGAGGGCAGCAGUGAGGAAUAUUGGUCAAUGGACGCAAGUCUGAACCAGCCAUGCCUCGUGCAGGAAGACGGCUCUAUGAGUUGUAAACUGCUUUUGUACGAGGGUAAAUCCCGAUACGUGUAUCUGGUUGAAAGUAUCGUACGAAUAAGGAUCGGCUAACUCCGUGCCAGCAGCCGCGGUAAUACGGAGGCUUCAAGCGUUAUCCGGAUUUAUUGGGUUUAAAGGGUGCGUAGGCGGUUCGAUAAGUUAGAGGUGAAAUCCCGGGGCUCAACUCCGGCACUGCCUCUGAUACUGUCGGGCUAGAGUUUAGUUGUGGUAGGCGGAAUGUAUGGUGUAGCGGUGAAAUGCAUAGAGAUCAUACAGAACACCGAUUGCGAAGGCAGCUUACCAAACUACGACUGACGUUGAGGCACGAAAGCGUGGGGAGCAAACAGGAUUAGAUACCCGAGUAGUC